GAGUGACAGAGGUAGAGGCUCCAUUCAGUGCCGAGUUGACUUACUCACUGUUGGUCUACUUCCCGCCCCAUUAGCUGGCAUGCCGCAGAGAAAGAGGAGUUUCACUUUUGGAGCGUAUGGAGGAGUGGACAAGACUUUCUCCAGGGCCAGAAGCAUAUGGAAACAAGAUGGGGGUGAACCCCGGAUCUCAACCACACUAGAUCCUCCGUUGUUACAGCCCCCACUGUCCCCGCUCCCGUACACCGCUCCA
This is a long non-coding RNA of Salvelinus namaycush (lake trout), 250 nucleotides long. RefSeq lists it as uncharacterized. NCBI's taxonomy places the organism in Eukaryota, Metazoa, Chordata, Actinopteri, Salmoniformes, Salmonidae. The record is from RefSeq and is a predicted model, not a curated record. The transcript has 3 exons.